RNAcentral lists this ribosomal RNA (467 nucleotides) under uncultured bacterium. RNAcentral's name for it is "bacterial SSU rRNA". It matches the Rfam family "Bacterial small subunit ribosomal RNA", at positions 40 to 507 of the family's 1533-position model. The record is from RNAcentral.
CGGCGUGCUUAACACAUGCAAGUCGAACGAAGCACUUUGAAACAAUCCUUCGGGUGCGUUUCUUAGUGACUUAGUGGCGGACGGGUGAGUAACGCGUGGGUAACCUGCCUCAUGCAGGGGGAUAACAGUUAGAAAUGACUGCUAAUACCGCAUAAGCGCACAGUACCGCAUGGUACAGUGUGAAAAGAUUUAUCAGCAUGAGAUGGACCCGCGUCUGAUUAGCUAGUUGGUGAGGUAACGGCCCACCAAGGCGACGAUCAGUAGCCGACUUGAGAGAGUGAUCGGCCACAUUGGGACUGAGACACGGCCCAAACUCCUACGGGAGGCAGCAGUGGGGAAUAUUGCACAAUGGGGGAAACCCUGAUGCAGCGACGCCGCGUGAGCGAUGAAGUAUUUCGGUAUGUAAAGCUCUAUCAGCAAGGAAGAUAAUGACGGUACUUGACUAAGAAGCCCCGGCUAACUACGUG